UGUUCACUUCAGAAGAACAUAACUGAUCUCAAAGCCAAAUCAGAGAAGCUAUAUGUGUGUAAACUGCCUGGGGGGCCAUGCAAGAAGGGAUAGAGAGUAGGAGAUGCAGCCAAGGAUGACUUGCCGGCGGCGGUUGACGUUUGCCGGCAUAUGUAUGUACAUACAGACAGACAGACAUCAUGCGUGAUUAUUUGCCGUUCUUGCCGGCAAGUCUGUCCUUGGCUACACCUUGCUCUCUGCCUGUCAUGUGUUGCCCCUACUUUGCUUGAGUGUAGGCAAUGGUCGAGACAACCACUUGUGUCAAAUCCAUUGCUCUCUCAGAGCAAGAGGAAGCAGAAUGGUAAGCGGUACAUAUAGGUUCCAUCCCCUUGCUGCGUGAAAUCAAUCAUUUUCUCGUGACAAGGUAAACCAGCAACAUUUUUUUUGGUCAUACUCAUUUUUUUACCGCUUAGUUGAUAUAUAGAAGCUUUUUUUCCAUCACAAUAAAUAUUCAAAUAAUAUAAACAUGACAUGUACUUAAAUGUACUUAUAUUAUAUUAUGUAUUGGCCCCCCGAAUAAUCAUUGAGGUAUUCAAUUCAAUCUGUAUUUGCUCAUAGUUGUGGCUCAUAGCAUAUGCGUUUAUACUCAUCAAGUGUGGUGGUAUAUAUCUACGUGUGUGGCUAUAUGGGAACCUACAAAGAAUGUUAGAAUAAGUAGGGUACUGGGAGGAGGUGUCAGCUUGGUAGUGGUGGGGGCGAAAGAACUAGCAUUACUUCUAGCGCGAGAGUAGUUCCUUUCCUUCUCGUACGGCUCGCCGCUCAGCUCGCCGUUUUUCUUUUUCUUUUUUGUUUUUUCCUAUAAACUCCUACUCUAUCAAUGAAAUAUGCACACCGUUCGUUCAAUAAAAAAAGUGAUAUCCAUCUAGGGUACAGGAUAACUGGAUAAGUGAUAUGAUAUUUGAGCGAAUCUGCCACCCCUACUCUUGGGGGGAAAUUGACCUGUGUAAAAUUCCGUUUUGGGCCUGAUGAAGACAGGCAUUGUGAUAUUUGCCCGAGUAGACUAUACGGUAACCACACAACGAGAGAUCCGGGUACCGUUGAAGCAUGCGAUAUGAUGCUUUCCAAUAGCUACAAUUUGGCCCACAAAUCUUGCACAAAAGGGUGGAAAUCCAGAUAGAAAGCCCCAUUGCAUUGCACUAGCUAGUCAGUGGACUGGUCCUUCUUUUCCCUAUCAAAGGAAAAAAGUUUGUUCCAUCCAAUCAUAUAAAAAAUGGUAGCAAUAAUAUAUAUACAGGCUCAGGUCAAAAGGCUGGCCCACCUUCACCCUGUAUAUUAUUCCAUUCCUAGUUAGUUGUUCCUAUAAAUGUACCCCAAGGGUCGAUGGAGCUGUUGUAACCUCAGGGCUGGAGAAGAGAUAGCAUAUAACUGCUUGGGGGGCCAUGCAAGAAGAGGCAGAGAGCAGGAGAUACAGCCAAGGAUGACUUGCCGGUGGCCACUGAUCUGAUAACCUCUCCGAUCACUGGCAUGGUCGUUAUUGCCAUCCCAACCGGCAAGUCUGUCCUUGGCUACACCUUGCUCUCUGCCCAUCAUGUGUUGCCCUUGCUUGGUUUGAGAGUAGAUGGUGUCGUGGGCUGCCUCUCUGCUACCCUCUGGAGGAACGGUGAGGAAUAUAAUGCAUAUAUAUGCAACUGCUUUUCUGAGGAGUUUCUAUAACCUACAUCCAUCACCAGAUUCGUAAGGCUGCAAAUUUCUCCCUCAGAGCAAGAGGACGAAGAAUGCAUCAAGCCUUGCAGUUGAACAGGUGCAUGUGCAGCCCAUGAGUUAAGGAAGCGAAGGACCAUACGAUUCCGACUCCCCAGCUCCUGAACCUGUCGUUGCACCGGCCUUCUUUUCCUAGCUCCACUAGAUGUUCUCCGUGCACUUGGCACCACCAUGCUUGCCUUCUCAAACUUGGUAUAUUCAGUGCCAUGUUUAGACUUCCACAGCAUUUGGGCAGACUGUCGCUUUGGUGUUUCUGCAGAAGUUAUCUAUUGCCUUUGCCAGCAUGGUUUCAUUCAGCUGUUUCAAGGUAAUGUCAGUAUGCAAACAAUUUUGCUCCUGACCGUCGAUAGCUAGAAUUCUUAUCUGCCGGCAGCAUGCCUUUUGAUGAGCCAUGCGGCGUGAAGGCAAGCCCAACAUUCAGAUGUCGAGAACCUUGUAGAAAAUUUUCGUAUUCAGACAGUGCGGUCCACUGUUUAAUUUGUUGUACUCGGAAAAUGGCACUGGCACUGCAAAAUUUACUUCGUAUGUUUGGUUAUAAGGUGCUAAACUUUAGCAGGUCA
This is a long non-coding RNA of Setaria italica (foxtail millet), 2300 nucleotides long. RefSeq lists it as uncharacterized. The transcript is spliced from 3 exons. NCBI's taxonomy places the organism in Eukaryota, Viridiplantae, Streptophyta, Magnoliopsida, Poales, Poaceae. The record is from RefSeq and is a predicted model, not a curated record.